ACUGUUUGAUGAUGGCUCAGAGUGAACGCUGGCGGCGUGCUUAACACAUGCAAGUCGAACGAGAACGGUCCUAGCUUGCUAGGAUGUCAGCUAAGUGGCGGACGGGUGAGUAAUGUAUAGUUAAUUUGCCCCUUAGAGAGGGAUAACUACUGGAAACGGUAGCUAAUACCUCAUACUCCUUCUACCUUAAUGGUAGUUGGGAAAUGUUUUUUCGCUAAGGGAUGAGACUAUAUGGUAUCAGGUAGUUGGUGGGGUAAGAGCCCACCAAGCCUAUGACGCCUAGCUGGUCUGAGAGGAUGAUCAGCCACACUGGGACUGAGACACGGUCCAGACUCCUACGGGAGGCAGCAGUGGGGAAUAUUGCACAAUGGAGGAAACUCUGAUGCAGCAACGCCGCGUGGAGGAUGACGCAUUUCGGUGUGUAAACUCCUUUUAUAUGGGAAGAUAAUGACGGUACCAUAUGAAUAAGCACCGGCUAACUCCGUGCCAGCAGCCGCGGUAAUACGGAGGGUGCAAGCGUUACUCGGAAUCACUGGGCGUAAAGCGCGCGCAGGCGGCCAUUUAAGUUGGAUGUGAAAGCCUACGGCUCAA
RNAcentral lists this ribosomal RNA (591 nucleotides) under uncultured bacterium. RNAcentral describes it as "bacterial SSU rRNA". It matches the Rfam family "Bacterial small subunit ribosomal RNA", at positions 8 to 612 of the family's 1533-position model. The record is from RNAcentral.